Triticum aestivum (bread wheat) is the source of this 104-nucleotide non-coding RNA. The record is from Rfam. NCBI's taxonomy places the organism in Eukaryota, Viridiplantae, Streptophyta, Magnoliopsida, Poales, Poaceae.
AUCCUCCCUUUGGGACAUCUGAUAAAAUUGGAACGAUACAGAGAAGAUUAGCAUGGCCCCUGCGCAAGAUGACACGCACAAAUUGAGAAAUGGUCCAAAUUUUU